Molecule: ribosomal RNA, 903 nt
Filed under: Triticum aestivum (bread wheat)
Lineage: Eukaryota; Viridiplantae; Streptophyta; Magnoliopsida; Poales; Poaceae
Description: partial small subunit ribosomal RNA
Source: RNAcentral
AUGGGAGAACUCACAGUUAUCGCCACUGGGGCAGCCACCAGGGCGCCGGAAGUUGGGGCAAGGCACCGCAGUGUAGGGGUGCUUGCGGGGGUCACGGCGGCGCGCGUUUUCGCCGGGGUGCACGAAGGGGCACUCGGUCCAGUCAUGCGAGUAAGCACGGGAGCACGGACGCACCUUGAAAGCAAACAUGCGGAACUCGUCCGAGGCAUAGACGCUGCUCUUGAUGUCCGGCAGCGUCGGAUCCACCGGGUACUCCUUCUUGGCGCGAUCCACGGUGAUGGGAGAGAGCGACGACGAGCGCGACGACGGCGACCUGUUGCCCUCGUCGUCUGGCGAGGACGAAAGCGGCGGGGACGACGCGCCAGAAGCCGCCGAGGUGGCGACGGCGAGGGCCCGGCGGCGGCCAAGAAGUAUCUCGAGAUCGCCCAGGGCGUCUGCCGAAGCCGGAGGAGCCCGGACGACGUCGGCCGGGACGCGGCCGGUGGAGUCGGCAGUAGCUGGGUCCGCGCCGGCGUCAAGCAGCAUCUUGACGACCUGGACGGCGUCGCAGGAGCCGCCGGAGGCGGCACAGUGAAGCGGGGUGAAGCCAUCGCCGCCAGGCCGACGAGCUACAUCGACCCAGCCGGCGCGGCCGAGCAGCAGCGAGACGACCCGCGCGCUGCCGUACGUGGCCGCGACCAUGAGCGGCGUGCGCGGCUCGUACGCCUUGCUCCGGCCAUACCAGAGCCCGACGUCAUCGGCCAGCUCGGCCGCCUCCUCGCCAGCUCCCUCGAGCGCGGCCUUCAUCCCAUCAACGUCGUCCGCCGCGGCGAGCUCGAGCAGCGCCGCGAGCCUGUCCCGCCGGCCCGCGCCGGCAGCCUGAGCGCGGUCGAGAUCGGGAAGGUCUCCCAUUGCUUGUGCUAG